This 406-nucleotide ribosomal RNA is filed under the name uncultured bacterium. RNAcentral describes it as "bacterial SSU rRNA". It matches the Rfam family "Bacterial small subunit ribosomal RNA", at positions 355 to 775 of the family's 1533-position model. The record is from RNAcentral.
UGGGGAAUUUUACGCAAUGGGCGAAAGCCUGACGUAGCGACACCGCGUGAGCGAAGAAGCCUUUUGGGGUGUAAAGCUCUGUCAGCUGGAACGAAAACAAUGACGGUACCAGCAGAGGAAGCAUCGGCUAACUACGUGCCAGCAGCCGCGGUAAGACGUAGGAUGCAAGCGUUGUCCGGAUUUAUUGGGCGUAAAGAGUUCGUAGGUGGUUUGUUAAGUUUGGUGUUAAAGAACGGGGCCUAACCCCGGUAGUGCACUGAAUACUGGCAGACUUGAGUGCGGUAGAGGUAAGUGGAAUUCCAAGUGUAGCGGUGAAAUGCAUAGAUAUUUGGAAGAACACCGGUGGCGUAAGCGACUUACUGGGCCGUAACUGACACUGAGGAACGAAAGCCGGGGUAGCGAAUGG